AUGUGAAGUCGUACCUGCCCAGUGAAAUUUUAACGGCCGCGGUACUCUGACCGUGCAAAGGUAGCAUAAUAAUUUGCCUUAUAAUUGAAGGCUGGAAUGAAUGGUUUGUCAAGGAUAAAGCUGUCUCUAUAAAAUUUUUUAAAAUUUUAUCUUUAAGUGAAAAAGCUUAAAUUCUAUUAAAAGACAAGAAGACCCUAUCGAGCUUUAAAAAACUUAGUAAAUAUUUUAUGACCUAAUGGAAAUUAUAUUACAAAAAAUUUUGGUUGGGGCAACCUAGGAGCAAAAAAAGCCUCCUUUUUUUAAAAAACUAUUUUGUUAGGAUCCAAAAUCUUUGAUUAUAAGAAAUAGUUACCGUAGGGAUAACAGCAUUAUUUUUUUUAAGAGUUCUUAUCGAAAAAAAAGUUUGUGACCUCGAUGUUGGACCAGAAUAUCCUAAAGAUGUAGAAGUCUUUAAGGGUUGGUCUGUUCGACCAUUAAAAUUCUA
Molecule: ribosomal RNA, 484 nt
Filed under: Pleurotomella sp. NP-2008
Lineage: Eukaryota; Metazoa; Mollusca; Gastropoda; Neogastropoda; Raphitomidae
Description: partial 16S ribosomal RNA
Rfam family: Bacterial large subunit ribosomal RNA
Source: RNAcentral